ACCCUCCUUGGGGGGAGAGCGGCGAACGGGUGAGUACCACGUGGGCAACCUGCCCCAGACACUGGGAUAACUCCGGGAAACCGGGGCUAAUACCGGAUACUCCGACCGGACCGCAUGAUCCGGCCGGGAAAGCUCCGACGGUCUGGGAUGGGCCCGCGGCCUAUCAGCUUGUUGGUGAGGUAACGGCCCACCAAGGCGACGACGGGUAGCUGGUCUGAGAGGACGGCCAGCCACACUGGGACUGAGACACGGCCCAGACUCCUACGGGAGGCAGCAGUGGGGAAUAUUGCGCUAAUGCGCGAAAGCGUGACGCAGCGACGCCGCGUGGGGGAUGAAGGCCUUCGGGUCGUAACCCCCCUUCCCCACGGACCAAUCCCAAG
Molecule: ribosomal RNA, 380 nt
Filed under: uncultured Acidobacteriota bacterium
Lineage: Bacteria; Pseudomonadati; Acidobacteriota
Description: bacterial SSU rRNA
Rfam family: Bacterial small subunit ribosomal RNA
Source: RNAcentral